UCUUGCGCAAUGGGCGAAAGCCUGACGCAGCGACGCCGCGUGGGGGAUGAAGGCCUUCGGGUUGUAAACCCCUUUCAGGAGGGAAGAUGGGACGGGCAACCGUUCGGACGGUACCUUCAGAAGCAGCCACGGCUAACUCUGUGCCAGCAGCCGCGGUAAGACAGAGGUGGCAAGCGUUGUUCGGAUUUACUGGGCGUAAAGGGUGCGUAGGUGGUUAGGUAAGACCUGCGGGAAAGACCUGGGCUUAACCCAGGAAGGUCGUAGGUGACUGCCUGGCUAGAGGGCGGGAGAGGAGAGCGGAAUUCCCGGUGUAGCGGUGAAAUGCGUAGAGAUCGGGAGGAAGGCCGGUGGCGAAGGCGGCUCUCUGGAACGUUCCUGACACUGAGGCACGGAG
RNAcentral lists this ribosomal RNA (394 nucleotides) under uncultured bacterium. Its description in RNAcentral is "bacterial SSU rRNA". It matches the Rfam family "Bacterial small subunit ribosomal RNA", at positions 362 to 758 of the family's 1533-position model. The record is from RNAcentral.